This 1737-nucleotide long non-coding RNA is filed under the name Marmota monax (woodchuck). The record is from RNAcentral. Lineage: Eukaryota; Metazoa; Chordata; Mammalia; Rodentia; Sciuridae.
CUCACUUGAGUUAUGUAUAUUUCCUUUCUUCCAUCUUGACCACAUUCAUUAGAGUCCUCUAUCUUUUCCUGUCAUCCUGGUGUUUAAUACAUCACCAGACAGAAUAAGAGUCUGUAAACUGCCUCUGAGAGCAAAGAUGUCGUUCAGGAUUUGGCUUGAAGCUGCACUCUGUCAGCUUAUUUCAUUAGAAGUUUUCAUUUUCAUCAUUAUCCCAGGGAGGUGUGGGGACCUGUUAGGUUUCUGACCCAGAAUGUGCCAGGGGAAGGGGAAGGUAAGGUGGAGGAGAGACAGUAGCAGGUCUUCUGUGGGUGGUGUUUGGGGGCGUAUAAAGAUCUCAUCUCUAGUAUCCUUACAUGGCAUAUGAGAUAAAAGAAGACGGUUUUCCAUGUCAUAAUGAACGGCACAGUCAAGAUGCUGGAUGAAAUACUGAAAAAAAUUCUGGAUGAAAGAAGUUUAGAAACUUGGACUAGAGGUGUAGCUCGGUGGCAGGGUUCUUGCUGAGCAUGCUUGGCUUGGAUCUCCAACAUCUUCUAAAAAAAGUUCAGAAGCCUAGUCUUGCACUACUAUGCAACUUCCCAGUCAUUGCUCCGGGAUGCAAUGGUGCACUUCGGACAACAGAUGGCGACGGAGACCGAAGUUUAAGCUGUUUUUCUUCUGCAGCUGUGGAAAUCCCCGCGGAAACCCGACUAUUCGCAGGGGCUCUCCCCACGCAGCCUUUGCCUCUCUCUUCUUUCUCACAUUACAUCAAUCUGCCAGGUUCUGACAGCGGCGACGGUGGGAUAUGGAAAACCAGGGACAGGAGAAGGGGUGAUGGGCAGCUUUCCAGACCAGACCCUGAAGCCCUCCUGCUUCCCAGGGACCCAAUUGUAGGGCUUCAGGCUGGAGGACAAGUGGGCGACCUGGGUCAGGUGGUGCAUCCUGUAGAUCCUACUGUGGCCCCGCUAGAGCUGAGCUCCACCCCGGAAUUCCGCUCCCGCACCCCGACCCCCGACAUUUUCUCCACUAAUGUAUUAUCAUCACUUAGUGCGGUCCUACUGAAUAAAUAUUUGUUGAAUGAAAGAGUGAAGUAGAAAAAUUGAGGCCAUGCUCCUCUAAAUUGCUUAUCUGGGUUCCUUCAGGCCCUUAGUGGCAGGGCCAGGUCUAGAGCUCAGGUUUUCUGAUUUCCGGUUUGGUUCUCUUUCCACCAGUUUGUAUAAUCCCAUCGUAUUUCCAUUUAGACUCUUUUAGUCCUAAUUAUUGAAUGAAAGACUUCAUCCUCCCUUAGAGCGGUUAGGGAGCAGAGAACUGCACAGGGUAUUUUUUGUUUGUUUGUUUGUUUGUUUUUGGAAAGGUCUCACCUGAAUUAUAUAUUUUUCCUUUCCUCCAUCUUGACCAUAUUCAUUAGAGUCCUCUAUCCUUUCCUGUCGUCUUCCCCAGAUGAAGAAUUCAGUUUUUACAUCUUAUCUGAAUGUUUAUCUGUCACCUGAAAGUUUAUGUGUAUGUGUGGUGUGUGUGUGUCCAUGUCCUAAGGUUUUUCUUUUUUUAUUCUGCAUUAUAAUUUGUCAUAAAGGUGGAAUUCAUUGUGAUAUAUCCUUACGUCCAUGUAACAGAAUUUGGUUGAUUCCCUAAGGAUUUUCUUAACUCCUAGAGUAUGAAUCCUACCAAUCUGAGGGACGACUGGCAUUUGUCUUCUCUGACAAAGUUGUGUUGCAUGUUCUGUAAGAAAAGGUGGGGUCCGGUCAGAAUUCUCCGUUUGUC